CUCGAUCAGUGGAUGCUCACAGAGAAACAGGUUGAGUUGGUUAAAAUGGCUGGAUUUGGCUAUUUGAGAAUGAUACCGGCAAUCAGUUUGGAUAACCCACUCAUAUCUUCCCUAGUUGAGAGAUGGAGAAGAGAAACAAACACAUUCCAUUUCACUGUUGGGGAAAUGACUGUUACCCUUGAGGAUGUCGCGUACUUGCUUGGGCUACCAGUUGAUGGUGAG
RNAcentral lists this unclassified non-coding RNA (222 nucleotides) under Hevea brasiliensis (rubber tree). The record is from RNAcentral. Lineage: Eukaryota; Viridiplantae; Streptophyta; Magnoliopsida; Malpighiales; Euphorbiaceae.